This 479-nucleotide ribosomal RNA is filed under the name uncultured bacterium. Its description in RNAcentral is "partial 16S ribosomal RNA". It matches the Rfam family "Bacterial small subunit ribosomal RNA", at positions 29 to 506 of the family's 1533-position model. The record is from RNAcentral.
AUGAACGCUGGCGGCGUGCCUAACACAUGCAAGUCGAACGGAGAUUACGGACGGAAGUUUUCGGAUGGAAGACUGUAAUUCUUAGUGGCGGACGGGUGAGUAACGCGUGGGCAACCUGCCCUAUACAGGGGGAUAGCAGCUGGAAACGGCUGGUAAGACCGCAUAAGUCGGCGAGACCGCAUGGUUUUGCCGGGAAAUGAGCAAUCAGGUAUAGGAUGGGCCCGCGUCCGAUUAGCCAGUUGGCAGGGUAAAAGCCUACCAAAGCAACGAUCGGUAGCCGGACUGAGAGGUCGGACGGCCACAUUGGGACUGAGACACGGCCCAAACUCCUACGGGAGGCAGCAGUGGGGGAUAUUGCACAAUGGAGGAAACUCUGAUGCAGCGACGCCGCGUGAGUGAAGAAGUAUUUCGGUAUGUAAAGCUCUAUCAGCAGGGAAGAUGAUGACGGUACCUGACUAAGAAGCCCCGGCUAACUACGU